RNAcentral lists this long non-coding RNA (528 nucleotides) under Rattus norvegicus (Norway rat). RNAcentral describes it as "long non-coding RNA NONRATT032168". Lineage: Eukaryota; Metazoa; Chordata; Mammalia; Rodentia; Muridae. The record is from RNAcentral.
CCACAAAGGCUGAAGAGUUAAGUAUUUAAAGACUCAGAAUUACUUGAGAUAGUGAAAAAACGUUAGAGAGAAAAAUUUGAGCUUGGCUUCGUAGUCUAAAUUUCUUUGUCAGUAAAAACCUUCAUUUGUGGUAAAAUUUGGGCAGGGGAGUAAUGGUAUUUGAUAAGGGGUGGGGAAGAAUGUGAACUCAAAAUUAUAACCCAUUUUCUUUCUUUUUAACAUUUUCAGGUCAACACCAAACGUUUAGGUUCUGUGUGAUCAAAAUAGAAGGUCUUCACGUAUAUGGACCUGUCCUCCGCUAAGAUGUAAUUAUCAGUUGAUCAGGUUGAAAGACGGCUGAGUAGAUCCGGCACUAACAACAGAAUCAUCACACCAUGGAGAAACAAAUGUUCUAACAAUGUUCAUAACUCUACACGAUCCUUUCCUUUUUCACCACAAUCUAUGCUUCCCCAUCUGGCAGACAAGUAUGGAUCCCUUUCAACAUGGGGGAUCUCAUUGCUUGCGCUGGAGGAAGAUUUUUGAGCUCCU